This 68-nucleotide transfer RNA is filed under the name Eurydactylodes occidentalis. RNAcentral describes it as "tRNA-Ala". Lineage: Eukaryota; Metazoa; Chordata; Lepidosauria; Squamata; Diplodactylidae. The record is from RNAcentral.
GAGGUCUUAGCUUAUUUAAAGUGUUUGAGUUGCAUUCAGAAGAUGUGUAUUAAAUUAUAACAGGCCUU